Molecule: non-coding RNA, 239 nt
Organism: Legionella nautarum
Lineage: Bacteria; Pseudomonadati; Pseudomonadota; Gammaproteobacteria; Legionellales; Legionellaceae
Source: Rfam
AAAGUCCUGCUGUAGAAGGUAGAGCCAGUACUACUACAUAGCGAGUCUUGCAACUCUGGCGGUAACAAAAGAGUUGAAGCGUAGACAGCGAAAUUUGCGAGCCGUAACAAACGUGAACAUGAAUUAGCCUCGAAAGUGGUCAUCAUGGCUGCUGAUACCGUCGCAUAGGUAGCAAGCAACAGACAUAGAACGGUCAACUGGUAAAUCCAAUCUAUGUCAGCCAUCGGGGUUCUAAAUGA